Non-coding RNA from Notechis scutatus (mainland tiger snake), 89 nucleotides. The record is from RefSeq and is a predicted model, not a curated record. NCBI's taxonomy places the organism in Eukaryota, Metazoa, Chordata, Lepidosauria, Squamata, Elapidae.
CUACAUUGCAUCAGCCUUACAUUGCAUCAGCAUUACAGCUGCUGGUCAGCUCUUCAAUCUCAAUACCUCAACAGCAAUUAAACAAGAUU